GGAGAAUUGGCAGAGAGGAAAUGCAGCCGGUUGCUAACCGGUACACCGGGAACGGUGCGAAGGUUCGAGUCCUUCAUUCUCCG
This 83-nucleotide transfer RNA is filed under the name Anaerostipes sp. AF04-45. Its description in RNAcentral is "tRNA-Ser". It matches the Rfam family "tRNA". From Rfam's summary of the family: Transfer RNA (tRNA) molecules are approximately 80 nucleotides in length. The record is from RNAcentral. Lineage: Bacteria; Bacillati; Bacillota; Clostridia; Lachnospirales; Lachnospiraceae.